CUACGGGAGGCAGCAGUGAGGAAUAUUGCACAAUGGAGGAAACUCUGAUGCAGCAACGCCGCGUGGAGGAUGACGCAUUUCGGUGUGUAAACUCCUUUUAUAUGUCAAGAAAAUGACGGUAGCAUAUGAAUAAGCACCGGCUAACUCCGUGCCAGCAGCCGCGGUAAUACGGAGGGGUGCAAGCGUUACUCGGAAUCACUGGGCGUAAAGGACGCGUAGGCGGGAUAUCAAGUCAGGUGUGAAAUCCUACAGCUUAACUGUAGAACUGCACUUGAAGCUGGUAACCUAGAGUAUGGGAGGGGGAGAUGGAAUUAGUGGUGUAGGGGUAAAAUCCGUAGAUAUCACUAGGAAUACCUAAAGCGAAGGCGAUCUCCUGGAACAUAACUGACGCUAAGGCGUGAAAGCGUGGGGAGCAAACAGGAUUAGAUACCCGAGUAGUC
This 440-nucleotide ribosomal RNA is filed under the name uncultured bacterium. Its description in RNAcentral is "partial 16S ribosomal RNA". It matches the Rfam family "Bacterial small subunit ribosomal RNA", at positions 339 to 795 of the family's 1533-position model. The record is from RNAcentral.